CUUUCCCUCUUUCCUCCUGCCUUACACAUGCAAGUCGAACGGUAACAGGUCUUCGGAUGCUGACGAGUGGCGCACGGGUGAGUAAUACAUCGGAACGUGCCCGAUCGUGGGGGAUAACGGAGCGAAAGCUUUGCUAAUACCGCAUACGAUCUACGGAUGACAGCAGGGGACCGCAAGGCCUUGCGCGGACGGAGCGGCCGAUGGCAGAUUAGGUAGUUGGUGGGAUAAAAGCUUACCAAGCCGACGAUCUGUAGCUGGUCUGAGAGGACGACCAGCCACACUGGGACUGAGACACGGCCCAGACUCCUACGGGAGGCAGCAGUGGGGAAUUUUGGACAAUGGGCGAAAGCCUGAUCCAGCCAUGCCGCGUGCAGGAUGAAGGCCUUCGGGUUGUAAACUGCUUUUGUACGGAACGAAAAGACUCUUUCUAAUAAAGAGGGUCCAUGACGGUACCGUAAGAAUAAGCACCGGCUAACUACGUG
This 482-nucleotide ribosomal RNA is filed under the name uncultured bacterium. RNAcentral's name for it is "partial 16S ribosomal RNA". It matches the Rfam family "Bacterial small subunit ribosomal RNA", at positions 36 to 507 of the family's 1533-position model. The record is from RNAcentral.